GAUGAACGCUAGCGGCAGGCUUAACACAUGCAAGUCGAGGGGCAGCACAGGUAGCAAUACUGGGUGGCGACCGGCAAACGGGUGCGGAACACGUACACAAUCUGCCUUUAUCUGGGGAAUAGCCCGAAGAAAUUCGGAUUAAUACCCCAUAACAUAUUUGGAUGGCAUCAUUUGAAUAUUAAAACUCCGGUGGAUAAAGAUGAGUGUGCGUCCCAUUAGCUAGUUGGCUGGGUAACGGCCUACCAAGGCGACGAUGGGUAGCUGGUGUGAGAGCACGACCAGCCACACGGGCACUGAGACACGGGCCCGACUCCUACGGGAGGCAGCAGUGAGGAAUAUUGGUCAAUGGACGCAAGUCUGAACCAGCCAUGCCGUGUGAAGGAUGAAGGCCUUCUGGGUUGUAAACUUCUUUUAUUGGGGAAGAAAAUUACGGUUUCUACUGUAACCGACGGUACCCAAGGAAUCAGCACCGGCUAACUCCGUGCCAGCCGCCGCGGUAA
This 500-nucleotide ribosomal RNA is filed under the name uncultured bacterium. RNAcentral's name for it is "partial 16S ribosomal RNA". It matches the Rfam family "Bacterial small subunit ribosomal RNA", at positions 28 to 523 of the family's 1533-position model. The record is from RNAcentral.